AACGAACGCUGGCGGCAUGCCUAACACAUGCAAGUCGAACGAGACCUUCGGGUCUAGUGGCGCACGGGUGCGUAACGCGUGGGAACCUGCCUUUAGGUUCGGAAUAACAGUGAGAAAUUACUGCUAAUACCGGAUGAUGUCUUCGGACCAAAGAUUUAUCGCCUUUAGAUGGGCCCGCGUUGGAUUAGCUAGUUGGUGGGUAAAGGCCUACCAAGGCGACGAUCCAUAGCUGGUCUGAGAGGAUGAUCAGCCACACUGGGACUGAGACACGGCCCAGACUCCUACGGGAGGCAGCAGUGGGGAAUAUUGGACAAUGGGGCGAAAGCCUGAUCCAGCAAUGCCGCGUGAGUGAUGAAGGCCUUAGGGUUGUAAAGCUCUUUUACCCGAGAUGAUAAUGACAGUAUCGGGAGAAUAAGCUCCGGCUAAACUCCGUG
This 434-nucleotide ribosomal RNA is filed under the name uncultured bacterium. Its description in RNAcentral is "bacterial SSU rRNA". It matches the Rfam family "Bacterial small subunit ribosomal RNA", at positions 29 to 507 of the family's 1533-position model. The record is from RNAcentral.